RNAcentral lists this ribosomal RNA (474 nucleotides) under uncultured organism. Its description in RNAcentral is "partial 16S ribosomal RNA". It matches the Rfam family "Bacterial small subunit ribosomal RNA", at positions 332 to 797 of the family's 1533-position model. The record is from RNAcentral.
UACACUCCUACGGGAGGCAGCAGUGGGGAAUUUUGGACAAUGGGCGAAAGCCUGAUCCAGCAAUGCCGCGUGAGUGAAGAAGGCCUUCGGGUUGUAAAGCUCUUUUGUCAGGGAAGAAACGGUGAAAGCUAAUAUCUUUUGCUAAUGACGGUACCUGAAGAAUAAGCACCGGCUAACUACGUGCCAGCAGCCGCGGUAAUACGUAGGGUGCAAGCGUUAAUCGGAAUUACUGGGCGUAAAGCGUGCGCAGGCGGUUUUGUAAGUCUGAUGUGAAAUCCCCGGGCUCAACCUGGGAAUUGCAUUGGAGACUGCAAGGCUAGAAUCUGGCAGAGGGGGGUAGAAUUCCACGUGUAGCAGUGAAAUGCGUAGAUAUGUGGCGGAACACCGAUGGCGAAGGCAGCCCCCUGGGUCAAGAUUGACGCUCAUGCACGAAAGCGUGGGGAGCAAACAGGAUUAGAAACCCCAGUAGUCCCA